AAUACUGGACAAUGGGGGCAACCCUGAUCCAGCCAUGCCGCGUGUGUGAAGAAGGUCUUCGGAUUGUAAAGCACUUUAAGUUGGGAGGAAGGGCUUUAGGUUAAUACCCUGAAGUUUUGACGUUACCAACAGAAUACGCACCGGCUAACUCUUUGCCAGCAGCCGCGGUAAUACAGAGGGUGCAAUCGUUAAUCGGAAUUAUUGGGCGUAAAGCGGGCGUAGGUGGUUCAGUAAGAUUGGUGUUAAAACCCCGGGCUUAACCUGGGAACUGCUUUCAUAAAUGCUGAGCUAGAGUACAGUAGGGGGUAGUGGAAUUUCCUGUGUAGCGGUGAAAUGCGUAGAUAUAGGAAGGAACACCAGUGGCGAAGGCGACUACCUGGACUGAUACUGACACUGAGGUGCGAAAGCGUGGGGAGCAAAC
This 421-nucleotide ribosomal RNA is filed under the name uncultured bacterium. Its description in RNAcentral is "partial 16S ribosomal RNA". It matches the Rfam family "Bacterial small subunit ribosomal RNA", at positions 360 to 773 of the family's 1533-position model. The record is from RNAcentral.